GCGGACGGGUGAGUAACACGUGGAUAACCUACCUAUAAGACUGGGAUAACUUCGGGAAACCGGAGCUAAUACCGGAUAAUAUAUUGAACCGCAUGGUUCAAUAGUGAAAGACGGUUUUGCUGUCACUUAUGGAUGGAUCCGCGCCGCAUUAGCUAGUUGGUAAGGUAACGGCUUACCAAGGCAACGAUGCGUAGCCGACCUGAGAGGGUGAUCGGCCACACUGGAACUGAGACACGGUCCAG
RNAcentral lists this ribosomal RNA (242 nucleotides) under uncultured Staphylococcus sp. RNAcentral describes it as "partial 16S ribosomal RNA". It matches the Rfam family "Bacterial small subunit ribosomal RNA", at positions 98 to 334 of the family's 1533-position model. The record is from RNAcentral. Lineage: Bacteria; Bacillati; Bacillota; Bacilli; Caryophanales; Staphylococcaceae.